AGUUUAUCAGCUGAUUCUUUAUUGGAACGAUGUUUGGGUUCUGAAACCCAAAAUAAUAACGAAUCUUUGAAUUCGUUAAUUUGGACUUUUGCUCCGAAGCACAUUCACGCUGGACCGAAGACAAUUGAAAUUGCCACUUUCUUCGCAGUUAGUAUUUUUAAUGAAGGUUUUAUACCUAUAUUAAAAAUCUUAGAUGUUAUGGGAAUCACGAUUGGCCCAGAAGCUAAUGCUUUUGCAGCGAGACGGGACGAAGCGCGUAUCGAGCGCUCGGAACUCCGGACUUCAGAGGCGUCAAAGGAGGGUAGAACUGCACGUCUUCACAAGAGAACAUCGGAGAAUGAGCAUUUUGAAGUAGAGGAAGGAUUCUUAUAUGGAGCAGGAAUCGCCGAUUAAAAAUAUAUCACCAGGAGGGUUGGAAUAAUGCACGCCAGGACACCCUCUUUUUUUUUGACCCCCCACUUUGACUGCUCAUAACUUUGUCAAUUUUAAUUUUUUUUUUUAAUAAUUUUUUUAUGUAAUAAUAAAACAUCAAUAAACAAAUGAUAAAA
Molecule: long non-coding RNA, 548 nt
Organism: Cotesia glomerata
Lineage: Eukaryota; Metazoa; Arthropoda; Insecta; Hymenoptera; Braconidae
Exons: 2
Source: RefSeq, a predicted model, not a curated record